AGGGGCGCAAGUGAGGAAGAUCUUCAGGAGGUACUGCGGACUGGAGAAUAAACAAUGUGGAGUGAUUAUAUUGAUUGUCCACUUCUUCUCUUGGAGCGAGGUUGCUUGGGUCAUGAGGAUAGUACCCUUGCUCGAUGAUUCUCCAUAAAUUUGUUGAGCUGUGAUUCAAAUGAGACUUAAUAGAAAACACCCAGUUAGCAAAAUCACCCUUAACAAGCUUAGGAGGAAGACCAACAGGAUUAAGACGCGGUGUAGGAACUGGUCCUCCAUAGACCAUGAGAGGUGGAACUGAGGCAUAUGUUCCAGUCCCAUUAUUUUUGAGAGGGGAAGAAGGUCGCAUAC
RNAcentral lists this long non-coding RNA (342 nucleotides) under Hordeum vulgare. RNAcentral describes it as "long non-coding RNA (HVUL_LNC010378)". The record is from RNAcentral. Lineage: Eukaryota; Viridiplantae; Streptophyta; Magnoliopsida; Poales; Poaceae.